This 459-nucleotide ribosomal RNA is filed under the name uncultured bacterium. RNAcentral describes it as "partial 16S ribosomal RNA". It matches the Rfam family "Bacterial small subunit ribosomal RNA", at positions 338 to 795 of the family's 1533-position model. The record is from RNAcentral.
CCUACGGGAGGCAGCAGUGAGGAAUAUUGGUCAAUGGCCGGAAGGCUGAACCAGCCAAGUCGCGUGAGGGACGACUGCCCUAUGGGUUGUAAACCUCUUUUAUAAGGGAAGAAUAAAUGCUACGUGUAGCAUGAUGCCUGUACCUUAUGAAUAAGCAUCGGCUAACUCCGUGCCAGCAGCCGCGGUAAUACGGAGGAUGCGAGCGUUAUCCGGAUUUAUUGGGUUUAAAGGGUGCGUAGGCGGUUUUUUAAGUUAGUGGUAAAACGUCGGGGCUUCACCUUGAUUUGCCAUUAAUACUGUAAGACUCGAGUUCAGACGAGGUAGGCGGAAUAAGUUAAGUAGCGGUGAAAUGCUUAGAUAUAACUUAGAACUCCGAUAGCGAAGGCAGCUUACCAGACUGCGACUGACGCUGAAGCACGAGAGCGUGGGUAGCGAACAGGAUUAGAUACCCCAGUAGUC